UUCAGACCAGACAAGCCAUCAAUGGCCUGGUUUGCCUUUUAGAAGAAGCAGACAUCAAUCAGCCACUGAAGACAAGAAGAGGACGGUCCUGGGGCACUCAACUUCUUCUAAGAUUCUCCUUGGAAGCCAUUCAAGUUUUCUUGCCAUUGUCACUGGGGCCACUCCUGCUCUGCUGUCUGCAGACUUCAUCUGCUGCUCUGAGGGUGGAAGUUUGCUUCUAAGGAAAAAUACUGGAAGGAAUAAAAUGCAGCCAAGAGGGGCCGUCGCUUUAACACACACCUGCUCUUUCCUCCCCAUCAGCAGGUGCCCAACAAGAUUGUUGACGAUGUCUGUGUCUACACCAGCAUUUCUCGAUCACCAGUCCCGGCCAUGGAAGCAACAUAUUCCUGCCUUAGGUUUAUUUCUCUCCCUUCUCUGCUUCUGGAUCGUCUCUCCCACCUCCUCACCCAUCUCCUCCUCCACCAUUUACCACCUGCUAUCAGAAUCAGGGUGGAAAACGUGGGCACACGCCCACGAGUUUUUAGUAUAGUUUUAACAAAAACACAAAAUUCCACCUA
Long non-coding RNA from Prionailurus viverrinus (fishing cat), 557 nucleotides. RefSeq lists it as uncharacterized. NCBI's taxonomy places the organism in Eukaryota, Metazoa, Chordata, Mammalia, Carnivora, Felidae. The transcript has 5 exons. The record is from RefSeq and is a predicted model, not a curated record.